CAAGCUAUCGUCAUAGAAUCAACAACAGCAGCUUCCACAACAGCUGAGACAAACACUCCAGAAGAUGCAUCAACACUCGCCACAGAGGCAUCAACAGCAGAAUCAACAACAGAGGAGAAAACCACCACUGAAAAAUUAACAACACCACAAAC
Long non-coding RNA from Polyodon spathula (Mississippi paddlefish), 152 nucleotides. RefSeq lists it as uncharacterized. The record is from RefSeq and is a predicted model, not a curated record. Lineage: Eukaryota; Metazoa; Chordata; Actinopteri; Acipenseriformes; Polyodontidae. The transcript is spliced from 3 exons.